This 3864-nucleotide ribosomal RNA is filed under the name Triticum aestivum (bread wheat). RNAcentral's name for it is "partial small subunit ribosomal RNA". The record is from RNAcentral. Lineage: Eukaryota; Viridiplantae; Streptophyta; Magnoliopsida; Poales; Poaceae.
CCCACGACGACCAGCAGCAGAGGAGGGAGGACGAGGAGCAUGACGGCGGCGGCGGCAGGGAGCAGCAGUAGCAGGCGGAGGCGCUGUGCUUGCAAGCCUCCCAAAUCCCAAAUCCCCACCCGACAGGUUUACGCGUGCUCAUUUCCUUGGCUGAUGCGGAAGGGGAGGCUUGCAAUGCUGAUGCGUAAGGGGAGGCUUGCAAGCAACCCCAGUCUGAAUGAAUUCAGUCAGGGUCACACAGGGGUUGCUUGAGAGAGCCCUUGAAGUGUAUGGAAAUGAUUUGGAUGAUGCAAUAAAGAGUUUGAAGGACCUGCACCUGAUGGAGUCAAAUCAGGGUAACCUAUCGUCCACUGGUUCCACUUUUGAAAAUGGGCCGACAGCAGUUCAGCCAUCUGUUGAAGGUGUUGUUACCAGCGGAGGUGUGGACACAGCUACUGAACACCAACCUGCCACAGCUAGCCACCAGCCACGUAAUAGUGGCCCUAAAUGGGUCGAUCUUUUUGUGAGAGAGAUGUCAAAUGCUUCUGACAUGGGACAGCGCUCAAGCUUGUGCUUCAAGAGCUGUGGAAGCCUUGACGAAGUCUAUUCUGGAGGGUGCAGGAGCUGAAGCGCACAGAGCUUGCUUCAGGAAAACAUGGUGCUCAAGGAGCAGGUGACGGCCGUCCUGUCGUAGAACGGGGUCCUGAAUUUGUUUAUAUAUUUGUUAGAUGUACGAGCAGCAGAAGAAAAUCUCCCCUCCGCUCAUUGUUGGUGGUUGAGACUCGGGUCGUCGAUGCAAAUCAAUCAAGUGCCCCCAUCUUUAGUUAUUCUGUUUGGUGAAUGGGGAGUUGAUGAACCCGGGGUAGCGACAGAUAUACCUUAUCUUCCCGGCGGACAGCACCUUCCACGAGGAUGACGUCUCCAACUACUCCAGCAUCUACGGUCCUGUCCAUGAUGUGCGCAUCCCCUACCAGCAGAACCACAUGUUUGGGUUCGUCACCUUCGUCUACAAGGAGAAGGGCAAGGUCCCCGGCAAGUUCAGGAAGCAGAAGGGCGAGACGGUGGACUUCUCUACCUGCGGGUCUCCCAACUAUUGUAUCUACUUGAUUGUCUUCUGUUAUCCAGAUCGAAAUUGUCCUAAGAAUGAGGCAACACUCGGAGGUGGCACCUACACAUGAUCCCUGUCUCUCUUAGAUGUCAAGGUCGUUUCUCUCCAUAUUGUAUACCUCUCAUAGGUUUUUUCCUGGCUUUUACUUUAUGAUGUGUAGAGAUUAAAUGGUAUCUGCUUGGAAUAUUAUUGUAUUUGGCACUAAUAAAUCAUAAAUAAUGGUAUGAGACUAUGAGUAUACUCUUACGGUUUUACUUAAUUUCUACCUCCGUUGAUAUAGCAUAUCUUCUUUGUAUUAUUUCACAGGAUUCUUUGCUAGAAGUUAAAAUAUCCUAUAUAAUAUGGAAAAGAGAUAGCUUAAAUCGGUGCAUGUGUAAUUAACUCCAUAUAUUAUUUCGAGGAAGAGUUCAAUACAUGCAUGUUCUCUCAAAUUAGGUUUCCCUUGGUGUGUAUAUAAAUGUGAUGCUUCCUUCCAUGACUAAACAUGUUGAUGUUAGGUAUGAAUGUACAGUCGAGUCAUGUUUAACAGAAUUGCUUUCUGCAUUAUCAGAUCACCUACAAUUAUUAUUCUUUAUUACAGUCUCAUACUAAAGUAGUCUGAUUAGUCAUAGUAAUUCAUAAAUAUUUCCAGUAUAUAUAGUUCUUAUUCGGUUAGUAGGACUUUUUUCCAAUUGUGAUGUUUGAAACAUUUUCUUAUACUGAUAAUGAUCUAGAAUAAAACAGACCAAUGAUAACUGGUAUGUAGCUUUUGAAGCCACUGAUAUAUACAAAAUAUUAUUUGAGUACAACAGGAGAGAUGCAAUCUUAUGGAUAUUUCCACAUUUGUAAGAAACAUUCAGCUUGGCAAGCGGACUUGACUAGCCAUGUGUAGGACUCAGCCCUGCUGACUUCAAAAUGAUUAGUCAUUGGUGUUUUCUUAAGUACCUGUUAGCCCAAGUGCAUCAGUUAAGUAGAGUGUUAUGUUGAAAAAAGGAAAGAGACUACUCUUUUGUUACUUGCAGUACAGGUACAUGCUAUAACAUAUUACCUUUAUGCUCUCUUUGGAUUUCAGUAUAUGCAUGUGAACAAAUAAGUCACUAAUAUCAAUGCCCAAGAAUUAUUUGUUUGCUAUUCUAAUCGUUCCAGCAGAGAGCAAUGGAUAUAGAAGAAAUAUGUGAACGGUUGUUACAGAGAUUGAACUCUAUAGAUAGCAGCUCUCAUUGGGUGACUGAAUUAGACUCUGACAUGAAUUAUCAUAUUUUCUGGUUCUCUGCUCUAAUCUAAGCUCUAAGACUACAUGAACUACCAUAUAUUCUAAUUUGUUUGGCUACACUACACCGUUCUAACUUGCUGGCUAUGAGCAUCAGAUGUGUUAGACAAAAAAUCAUUGUUAAAUGAAUAAUAGUGCCAAAUGAGAUUCACUAAUCAAACACCAUCGAUGAAGUCACAUUUAUGCGUAGCGAGCCAUGCUUCCUAUCUGUUCUAUGUUAUGUUUCUGAAUAUGUAUCCACGUCAACUGGUCUAAAGUUGCGUAUCUAGAUGAGUUGCAUUUUGUUUAUUUACUAAAAUAUAGCUAUUAUGGGAUUAUUUGGUUAUCAGCUUUAUGAACAAGCAUCCAGUAUAUGCUGCGAGGAGUGACAAUGCAAGACCAGCGCUGUUUUCAUGCACAUUUGCAUAUAGUUUCAGUCAAUAUGAUAGUAAACUUUCUCUCAACGACUCUGACCUUACAAAAUAUUAGGUAUCCUUAGUUCCAAAUAUGGUUUUAAAGGUUCUAAAAUUAUUUCUUUGAUGCCAGGUGCCAUGCUGUGGAGAACAUCUAGCCGCCAUUUACACUUAAUUUCCUCCAUGUUUCGAUCAAGUGCCUCCACUCCUCACCACCUCUUUAUCUAUCAUGGUAGCAGCAAUGGAGGUCUCCAAGGCCACUUCCUCUUUUGGUUUGGCAACCCGCCAGCCCUCCAAAGAGAUUCUUGAGACAUGGCGGUGCCAAUGAGGUGUGCUUCGAUGUGGAUAGCACUGUGUGCUUGGAUGAGGGUAUUGAUGAGCUUGCUGAUUUCUGUGGGGCUGGGCAGGCGGUUGCCGAGUGGACGACAAAGCAAUUGUCACAGUUUCUGGAAUGUGUUAGUUGUUUAGCAUAUAAUAUCUUCCGAAAAACUACUUGGCCUUAUUAUUCUCAGGGCGAUGACAGGGACCGUUCCAUUUGAUGAGGCUCUUGUUGCCUGGAUCUCUUUAAGUAAGCCAUCUUUGUCCCAAGUUGAGGACCGUUUGGAGAAGAGACCACCCAGGAUUUCUCAAUGUUGAUUUUAUUAAGACAUUAAAAGCCAAUAAUACUGAAGUAUUCCUUGUGUCCGGAGGUUUCCGGUAAAUGAUCAAGGUGUAUCUUCACUAAACGGCUGCACGAACGAUCAACAUCUGUGUGCGCCGCUGUUUGAGAGGGACAAAAAAGAGGUUGAUUUGAUAUGGAAGAGCAAGGGAGGCCGGAAGAAUUGUGCACUUCUAUCCUUUCUACUAGCGCAUCAUAGCAUCUGAUUUUUACCCACGUCAUUGGGACCGGCACCCUCACGCCAAGGCAUGAUCACGAUGUAGUGGGAGAAGAUCUGUGGGCUUUUUGUAAUUUACCCAUAGGUUUAACAUUUACCUUUAUUAUAUCAACACCAUCAUAUGCUUCUUAGUUAAAUUUUUGAAAUGUUUAAAUUCAAAUUUAUUGAAAUUUGUUAGGUGUGACAACAUUUUGCAUGCAUAAAAGUAGCCCUAACAAACUAUGUUAUGCCUAAGACUUUAGUUGUCUAUUCUGAGUUGCU